UCCAUCUAGAAAUCAUGCAUUUUAAUCACUGUUGCGAAUGAAGAAAUGGUUAGGAUUAAAUGAUUUCAAUUGGGCAGGUGCUGCCAGUUAAAGCUGUAGCGAAGAAAAAAGCAGCUCCAGUGAAGGCAGUGAAGAACGGAAAAGCUGCUGCCAAACAGGAGAGUGAGAGUGACGACGAUGAUGAUGAAGAUUCUGAAGAGGAAGCUCCUCCGAAGAAGGCCGCACCUGCCAAGGCAACUCCUGCUAAGAAGGCAGCGCCUGCUGAGGAGUCCUCCGAUGACGAGGAGGAUGAUGAUGAAUCCGAGGAAGAGCCGCCACCUCCACCCAAGAAGGCCACACCUGCUAAAGCCGCAGCGGCAAAGAAAGCUGCUCCUGUGAAGAAAGCAGCUCCCGCUGAGGAGUCUGAUGAGGAUGACGAUGAAUCUGAUGAGGAGGAUGAUGAUGGUGUGUGUGACUGGAUGGGAUUUAUUUGUAUACAUGUGAUGCACUAAGGGAUUUAAUACUGACAGUGUUUGAUGACUCUAUGGACUGAUGUUUGCAUUUUUGAUAGUUUAAAUUUCGUCCUGUAUGUUU
RNAcentral lists this long non-coding RNA (573 nucleotides) under Sinocyclocheilus grahami. RNAcentral describes it as "lncRNA (ENSSGRG00000010800.1)". The record is from RNAcentral. Lineage: Eukaryota; Metazoa; Chordata; Actinopteri; Cypriniformes; Cyprinidae.